This 760-nucleotide long non-coding RNA is filed under the name Ananas comosus (pineapple). RNAcentral describes it as "long non-coding RNA (ACOM_LNC009344)". Lineage: Eukaryota; Viridiplantae; Streptophyta; Magnoliopsida; Poales; Bromeliaceae. The record is from RNAcentral.
UAUUCCUUCAAAAACCGAGUGAUGUUCAUAUUUGCCCCUUUGUUUUGUUAUCGUUAGCUCACUAUUUUUUUUUAACAGAAGGUAAGUAAAAUGUCACUUUUGUCAUCACUAUAUGUCCCUCCAAAAGCCACAACUGUUAGAAUCGUGUCGAAGUGUCCUCCUAAAAAAUUUCUAAUUAUCAUCUUUUUCCUCUAUAAAAACUAACCCAAUCUACCAUUGUUGUAAUAUCUUCUCUACCUCUUCUUUCACUUUUUUUUUUUUCCUUUACCUAUGUAUUACUAGUUCCCCGGCACUCAACAUGGGCGAAAUAACAUGCGUGGUGGAUGAAUGGGAAUGGAGAAACUCUAGUUACGACAGCAAAACUAGCAUGAAGAAGAUUAAAAGGAAGAAGAGAGUUUUCAUUGCCAGGGAUUUGAUCGAAUUAAAAUUUUGAUUAAGAGAAAAGGUAUCAUAUCAAAGGGGUAAAAAGGUCAAUUUACCUCACUUAUUAAUCAAGGUUAAGUAUUUUAUUUAUGGUUAACUAUAUUUUUUAACGGACACUGUUAAAAUCGGAACGGCGAAAAAUAGAUCCAGAAAAUAAUUUAAUGCAAGAAAAGAAAAGAUAAGCGGAAAGAACACACCGAUAAUUACGUGGUUCGGCCAACGGCCUACGUCCACGGGCGAAGACGGAGUAAAUAUUUUAUUAAUGUCGAAAAGGCGGAGUACAAAGAAUAUCUCUCAAAAGAACCCAAAGCUUAAUUAGAUCCGAAACGCCGCAACA